GACGAACGCUGGCGGCGUGCUUAACACAUGCAAGUCGAACGGAAAGGCCCUGCUUUUGUGGGGUGCUCGAGUGGCGAACGGGUGAGUAACACGUGAGUAACCUGCCCUUGACUUUGGGAUAACUUCAGGAAACGGGGGCUAAUACCGGAUAGGAGCUCCUGCUGCAUGGUGGGGGUUGGAAAGUGUCGGCGGUUGGGGAUGGACUCGCGGCUUAUCAGCUUGUUGGUGGGGUAGUGGCUUACCAAGGCUUUGACGGGUAGCCGGCCUGGGUGGGUGACCGGCCACAUUGGGACUGCGGUACGGCCCAGACUCCUACGGGAGGCAGCGGUGGGGAAUAUUGCACAAUGGGCGGAAGCCUGAUGCAGCAACGCCGCGUGCGGGAUGACGGCCUUCGGGUUGUAAACCGCUUUCGCCUGUGACGAAGCGUGAGUGACGGUAAUGGGUAAAGAAGCACCGGCUAACUACGUG
This 468-nucleotide ribosomal RNA is filed under the name uncultured bacterium. RNAcentral's name for it is "partial 16S ribosomal RNA". It matches the Rfam family "Bacterial small subunit ribosomal RNA", at positions 28 to 507 of the family's 1533-position model. The record is from RNAcentral.